AGAGUUUGAUCCUGGCUCAGAGCGAACGCUGGCGGCGUGCUUAACACAUGCAAGUCGAGUGCGCGGUAGCAAUACUGGCGCACGGCGCACGGGUGCGUAACACGUGGGCAAUCUGCCCUCCAGUGGGGAAUAACCCGCCGAAAGGCGGGCUAAUACCGCAUAACAUUCCUUGGACUUCGGUUCGAGGAUUCAAAGUCGCA
Molecule: ribosomal RNA, 200 nt
Filed under: uncultured bacterium
Lineage: Bacteria
Description: partial 16S ribosomal RNA
Rfam family: Bacterial small subunit ribosomal RNA
Source: RNAcentral